ACAUGCAAGUCGAACGCUGAAGCCCCAGCUUGCUGGGGUGGAUGAGUGGCGAACGGGUGAGUAACACGUGAGUAACCUUCCCUUGACUCUGGGAUAAGCCCGGGAAACUGGGUCUAAUACCGGAUACGACCUCCUGCCGCAUGGUGUGGGGGUGGAAAGAUUUAUCGGUUUUGGAUGGACUCGCGGCCUAUCAGCUUGUUGGUGAGGUAAUGGCUCACCAAGGCGACGACGGGUAGCCGGCCUGAGAGGGUGACCGGCCACACUGGGACUGAGACACGGCCCAGACUCCUACGGGAGGCAGCAGUGGGGAAUAUUGCACAAUGGGCGCAAGCCUGAUGCAGCGACGCCGCGUGAGGGAUGACAGCCUUCGGGUUGUAAACCUCUUUCAGUAGGGAAGAAGCGAAAGUGACGGUACCUGCAGAAGAAGCGCCGGCUAACUACGUGCCAGCAGCCGCGGUAAUACGUAGGGCGCGAGCGUUAUCCGGAAUUAUUGGGCGUAAAGAGCUCGUAGGCGGUUUGUCGCGUCUGCCGUGAAAGUCCGGGGCUUAACCCCGGAUCUGCGGUGGGUACGGGCAGACUAGAGUGCAGUAGGGGAGACUGGAAUUCCUGGUGUAGCGGUGAAAUGCGCAGAUAUCAGGAGGAACACCGAUGGCGAAGGCAGGUCUCUGGGCUGUUACUGACGCUGAGGAGCGAAAGCAUGGGGAGCGAACAGGAUUAGAUACCCUGGUAGUCCAUGCCGUAAACGUUGGGCACUAGGUGUGGGGGACAUUCCACGUUUUCCGCGCCGCAGCUAACGCAUUAAGUGCCCCGCCUGGGGAGUACGGCCGCAAGGCUAAAACUCAAAGGAAUUGACGGGGGCCCGCACAAGCGGCGGAGCAUGCGGAUUAAUUCGAUGCAACGCGAAGAACCUUACCAAGGCUUGACAUGUUCCC
Molecule: ribosomal RNA, 932 nt
Filed under: uncultured bacterium
Lineage: Bacteria
Description: bacterial SSU rRNA
Rfam family: Bacterial small subunit ribosomal RNA
Source: RNAcentral